ACCAUAUCUUUUGUUUUCUCUCUCUCAUUUCUAUUUUCAUGUUCCAAUUCUUUUCCCUUCUAUUUUCUCUCUCAAGCUUUCUAUCUCCUCAAACCCUAAAUUUGUGGCCGCCCCCAUCUUCGUUUCUCCUUCCUCUGCAACUCUCAAAAGAUCUGAUUAUUGCUAGAGGAAUGAUAUGACAUAGAUGGUGUCCAGACAAUUACGAGAGAAUUUACCUGAAUGUAGCCAGGAAAAAGCACAGCAACAAUGGAAGCUGAACAACUAAAUUUAGUAUCAGAGGGUUUUGCUCAAUUGUUUCAUGUUUAUGUUGUGCUGAUGCACUGUGUUGAUUUUUUGUGGUUGUUGUGCUACUCGAAAUAUUAGAACUCUUGGAAUUUAUAUUGUGAAAAACUAUAGCUUGAUUGAACAUAUUGAUGCAGCUUUGAUUUUUGUUUUUGUGGUGAAAAAAGUUUGAAUUUUUAACCGAUUCGGUGAAAGGAAGUAGAAGAGAAACCAUGUAUCUAAUCCAAGCCCUUGAUUUUCCAGAUGAUUAUAAUACAAUUGAUUAUAGCUAACACUGAAAAUGCAGCAAUUGAUGCUCUUGGAGAUUUUCUUUUUUAGUGGUGGUCUGUAUUCUGGGAUAUUUUUAUUGCAAGGACAAAUGAGAAACAUUCUGAGAAUGUUGCAGCAUAUUUAGAGCUUCAUGAAAGGAACUGUACAUGUGAUUUGUUUGAUCCUAUAGUAUCAAAAUUCAACACAGACGAAGUCCAACGCUUUGUGGAACAUGGUAGUACUUUAAGCAUUUUCGAUAAUGAACUAGCGAUAACACAGACAACUAAGUUGCAUUGUAUUCUUAGUGUGUUGGCUUUAUUAUCGGCUUAUUAUCCAUCCAUGAAUUCCCUUUUGAUUGGCAACACUUCAAUUUUCUUAUAUUGAAUUUAAAACAAAUUGCAAAUGUGAAUUGUUGUCAUUCAGUGCUGAUAUAUUGUGUAGUAACAGUGUGUUUUCGAUAAAAAGGAACCAUCAAUGGCUCACUAUGAAAAUGUUAGUUUCAAACAUGACAAUAUAGUGUUUCAGUACCUCCUUCAUAGUGUGUCCUCAU
Long non-coding RNA from Vicia villosa (hairy vetch), 1081 nucleotides. RefSeq lists it as uncharacterized. The transcript has 4 exons. Lineage: Eukaryota; Viridiplantae; Streptophyta; Magnoliopsida; Fabales; Fabaceae. The record is from RefSeq and is a predicted model, not a curated record.